GACGAACGCUGGCGGCGUGCCUAACACAUGCAAGUCGAGCGGAGAUCAUGGAGAGCUUGCUCAAAGUGAUUUUAGCGGCGGACGGGUGAGUAACGCGUGAGCAAUCUGUCCUACACAGGGGGAUAACAGCUGGAGACAGCUGCUAAUACCGCAUAAGACCACAGCGUCGCAUGACAAAGGGGUCAAAGAAUUAUCGGUGUAGGGUGAGCUCGCGUCCCAUUAGAUAGUUGGCGGGGUAACGGCCCACCAAGUCGACGAUGGGUAGCCGACCUGAGAGGGUGAUCGGCCACACUGGGACUGAGACACGGCCCAGACUCCUACGGGAGGCAGCAGUGGGGAAUAUUGGGCAAUGGGCGCAAGCCUUACCCAGCAACGCCGCGUGAGGGAAGAAGGUUUUCGGAUUGUAAACUUCUUUUAAGAGGGACGAUAAUGACGGUACCUCUUGAAUAAGCCACGGCUAACUACGUG
Molecule: ribosomal RNA, 468 nt
Filed under: uncultured bacterium
Lineage: Bacteria
Description: bacterial SSU rRNA
Rfam family: Bacterial small subunit ribosomal RNA
Source: RNAcentral